UGAUCUAAAUGGGAACAACCUGACGACCAUCAGCAAGACAGACUUCUCUGGCCUCAAACACCUCAGAGUUCUUCACCUGAUGGAGAACCAGAUAAGCAACAUUGAGAGAGGAGCAUUUGAUGAUCUGAAGGAACUGGAGAGACUUCGCCUGAACAGGAACCGUCUCACUCAGCUCCCUGAACUCCUGUUCCAGAAGAAUGAGGCUCUGGCUCGACUG
Long non-coding RNA from Oncorhynchus masou masou (cherry salmon), 217 nucleotides. RefSeq lists it as uncharacterized. The record is from RefSeq and is a predicted model, not a curated record. The transcript has 3 exons. Lineage: Eukaryota; Metazoa; Chordata; Actinopteri; Salmoniformes; Salmonidae.